CCUACGGGUGGCAGCAGUGAGGAAUAUUGGUCAAUGGACGCAAGUCUGAACCAGCCAUGCCGCGUGCAGGAAGACGGCUCUAUGAGUUGUAAACUGCUUUUGUACGAGGGUAAACGCAGAUACGCGUAUCUGUCUGAAAGUAUCGUACGAAUAAGGAUCGGCUAACUCCGUGCCAGCAGCCGCGGUAAUACGGAGGAUUCAAGCGUUAUCCGGAUUUAUUGGGGUUAAAGGGUGCGUAGGCGGUCGGAUAAGUUAGAGGUGAAAGCCCGAGGCUCAACUUCGGAAUUGCCUCUGAUACUGUUCGGCUAGAGAGUAGUUGCGGUAGGCGGAAUGUAUGGUGUAGCGGUGAAAUGCUUAGAGAUCAUACAGAACACCGAUUGCGAAGGCAGCUUACCAAGCUACUUCUGACGUUGAGGCACGAAAGCGUGGGGAGCGAACAGGAUUAGAUACCCCUGUAGUC
RNAcentral lists this ribosomal RNA (460 nucleotides) under uncultured bacterium. RNAcentral describes it as "partial 16S ribosomal RNA". It matches the Rfam family "Bacterial small subunit ribosomal RNA", at positions 338 to 795 of the family's 1533-position model. The record is from RNAcentral.